CGGACGGGGGAGUAAUGUCUGGGAAACUGCCUGAUGGAGGGGGGUAACUACUGGAAACGGUAGCUAAUACCACAUAACGUCGCAAGACCAAAGAGGGGGACCUUCGGGCCUCUUGCCAUCGGAUGUGCCCAGAUGGGAUUAGCUAGUAGGUGGGGUAAAGGCUCACCUAGGCGACGAUCCCUAGCUGGUCUGAGAGGAUGACCAGCCACACUGGAACUGAGACACGGUCCAG
RNAcentral lists this ribosomal RNA (232 nucleotides) under uncultured bacterium. RNAcentral's name for it is "partial 16S ribosomal RNA". It matches the Rfam family "Bacterial small subunit ribosomal RNA", at positions 99 to 334 of the family's 1533-position model. The record is from RNAcentral.